Molecule: non-coding RNA, 22 nt
Filed under: Arabidopsis thaliana (thale cress)
Lineage: Eukaryota; Viridiplantae; Streptophyta; Magnoliopsida; Brassicales; Brassicaceae
Source: RNAcentral
UCAAUCUAAACUCGUUCCACCA